CCUACGGGUGGCUGCAGUGGGGAAUAUUGCGCAAUGGGCGAAAGCCUGACGCAGCGACGCCGCGUGUGGGAUGAAGGUCUUCGGAUCGUAAACCACUGUCGGGGGGGACGAACACCAUGACGGUACCCCCAAAGGAAGCACCGGCUAACUCUGUGCCAGCAGCCGCGGUAAUACAGAGGGUGCGAGCGUUGUCCGGAAUCACUGGGCGUAAAGGGCGCGUAGGCGGCCCGAUAAGUAGGGGGUGAAAUCUUGCGGCUCAACCGCAGGGCUGCCUCCUAGACUGUCGGGCUCGAGCACGGCAGAGGCUGGUGGAAUUCCCGGUGUAGCGGUGGAAUGCGUAGAGAUCGGGAAGAACAUCGGUGGCGAAGGCGGCCAGCUGGGCCGUUGCUGACGCUGAGGCGCGACAGCGUGGGGAGCAAACAGGAUUAGAUACCCGGGUAGUC
RNAcentral lists this ribosomal RNA (443 nucleotides) under uncultured bacterium. RNAcentral's name for it is "partial 16S ribosomal RNA". It matches the Rfam family "Bacterial small subunit ribosomal RNA", at positions 338 to 795 of the family's 1533-position model. The record is from RNAcentral.